UCCCUGGUGGCUCAGAGGUUAAAGCAUCUGCUUGCAAUGCAGGAGACCCAGGUUUGAUCCCUGGGUUGGGAA
Molecule: transfer RNA, 72 nt
Filed under: Ovis aries (sheep)
Lineage: Eukaryota; Metazoa; Chordata; Mammalia; Artiodactyla; Bovidae
Rfam family: tRNA
About the family: Transfer RNA (tRNA) molecules are approximately 80 nucleotides in length. Their secondary structure includes four short double-helical elements and three loops (D, anti-codon, and T loops).
Source: Rfam by way of RNAcentral